Molecule: ribosomal RNA, 484 nt
Filed under: uncultured bacterium
Lineage: Bacteria
Description: partial 16S ribosomal RNA
Rfam family: Bacterial small subunit ribosomal RNA
Source: RNAcentral
AUUGAACGCUGGCGGCAGGCCUAACACAUGCAAGUCGAGCGGAUGAAGGGAGCUUGCUCCUGGAUUCAGCGGCGGACGGGUGAGUAAUGCCUAGGAAUCUGCCUGGUAGUGGGGGAUAACGUCCGGAAACGGGCGCUAAUACCGCAUACGUCCUGAGGGAGAAAGUGGGGGAUCUUCGGACCUCACGCUAUCAGAUGAGCCUAGGUCGGAUUAGCUAGUUGGUGGGGUAAAGGCCUACCAAGGCGACGAUCCGUAACUGGUCUGAGAGGAUGAUCAGGCACACUGGAACUGAGACACGGUCCAGACUCCUACGGGAGGCAGCAGUGGGGAAUAUUGGACAAUGGGCGAAAGCCUGAUCCAGCCAUGCCGCGUGUGUGAAGAAGGUCUUCGGAUUGUAAAGCACUUUAAGUUGGGAGGAAGGGCAGUAAGUUAAUACCUUGCUGUUUUGACGUUACCAACAGAAUAAGCAACGGCUAACUUCGUG